Transfer RNA from Ipomoea nil (Japanese morning glory), 72 nucleotides. It matches the Rfam family "tRNA". Rfam says of the family: Transfer RNA (tRNA) molecules are approximately 80 nucleotides in length. Their secondary structure includes four short double-helical elements and three loops (D, anti-codon, and T loops). Further hydrogen bonds mediate the characteristic L-shaped molecular structure. tRNAs have two regions of fundamental functional importance: the anti-codon, which is responsible for specific mRNA codon recognition, and the 3' end, to which the tRNAs corresponding amino acid is attached (by aminoacyl-tRNA synthetases). tRNAs cope with the degeneracy of the genetic code in two manners: having more than one tRNA (with a specific anti-codon) for a particular amino acid; and 'wobble' base-pairing, i.e. permitting non-standard base-pairing at the 3rd anti-codon position. NCBI's taxonomy places the organism in Eukaryota, Viridiplantae, Streptophyta, Magnoliopsida, Solanales, Convolvulaceae. The record is from Rfam.
GGGUCUUUAGCUCAGUGGUAGAGCAUUUGAUUGCAGAUCAUGAGGUCAUCGGUUCAAACUCGGUAUGGCCCU